Athene cunicularia (burrowing owl) is the source of this 409-nucleotide long non-coding RNA. RefSeq lists it as uncharacterized. NCBI's taxonomy places the organism in Eukaryota, Metazoa, Chordata, Aves, Strigiformes, Strigidae. The transcript has 3 exons. The record is from RefSeq and is a predicted model, not a curated record.
CCUGCCCCCCUCCACCCGUUCUACUGAGUGGGACCGCCGCACGGCCAGGGAUGCAAGACAGAGAGUGACUGGACAGCUGUCACAACUGCUGGACAGGACAUCUCGAUAAGGAACGUUUUAAGGAGCUUAUGGCCACAUUCAUCUAAAGGAAAAUACACACACAUUAAGCAGUACAUGUCGAGCAGAGUUUUUGGCAGAAGAAUGAUGACUCUGAUUUUAAAUCUUGUUUAUUUUCUCUUUAUACCCACCAGUGUGUUCUCAACUCCUCUGAGCAAGGUAUCAACAUACUGUUCAUCUUCGCUGGGUGCUUUGCUGACCCCCUCCUCAUGCCUCUGUAUGUUACACAAUGCACAGGGAGGAUGGGAUGUGCAAGUGCAUGGGUCAUUGGGAUGCUGUUUGGGAGACUGGA